RNAcentral lists this ribosomal RNA (253 nucleotides) under uncultured bacterium. RNAcentral describes it as "partial 16S ribosomal RNA". It matches the Rfam family "Bacterial small subunit ribosomal RNA", at positions 524 to 776 of the family's 1533-position model. The record is from RNAcentral.
GACAGAGGGGGCAAGCGUUGCUCGGAAUCACUGGGCGUAAAGGGCGCGUAGGCGGGAUGGCAAGUCGGUCGUGAAAUCCUUCGGCUCAACCGAAGAACGUCGGCCGAUACUGCCGUUCUUGAGGGAUGCAGAGGAGAUUGGAAUUCCCGGUGUAGCGGUGAAAUGUGUAGAGAUCGGGAGGAACACCGGUGGCGAAGGCGGGUCUCUGGGCAUCUCCUGACGCUGAGGCGCGAAAGCUAGGGUAGCAAACGGG